GCCAGGCAUGGUGGCUUAUGCCUGUAAUCCCAGCAUUUUGGGAGGCUGAGAUGGGAGGAUUGCUUGAGGUCAGGAGUUUGAGACCAGCCUGGCCAACAUAGCAAGACCCCAUCUCUA
Molecule: signal recognition particle RNA, 117 nt
Filed under: Nomascus leucogenys (northern white-cheeked gibbon)
Lineage: Eukaryota; Metazoa; Chordata; Mammalia; Primates; Hylobatidae
Description: Metazoan signal recognition particle RNA
Rfam family: Metazoan signal recognition particle RNA
About the family: The signal recognition particle (SRP) is a universally conserved ribonucleoprotein. It is involved in the co-translational targeting of proteins to membranes.
Source: Rfam by way of RNAcentral